This 177-nucleotide non-coding RNA is filed under the name human gut metagenome. RNAcentral's name for it is "Lysine riboswitch". It matches the Rfam family "Lysine riboswitch aptamer". Rfam says of the family: Riboswitches are metabolite binding domains within certain messenger RNAs that serve as precision sensors for their corresponding targets. Allosteric rearrangement of mRNA structure is mediated by ligand binding, and this results in modulation of gene expression. The record is from RNAcentral. RNAcentral also lists the same sequence under 1 other name.
UGAGAUAGAGGCCGCGUGGUUCAAGAGUAAGUAUAAGGAGAAUUUCACAGUUCCGGGAAUUAUACCGAAAGGGGAUUCACGCCGAAGGAGGCAGGUUUGUGAAGACCGCUGUCCUGGUUAUAAAGUUAAGAGCUUUAUAAUUGUCAUCAGUUCUGAUGGAGAGCUAGUGGAGAGCUA